UUCAUGGCAAUCAAACAAAUAAGAAUAAAUGCCUCAUACAUCAUACAAGUAGGCAACAAUUAUUAAUUAGACAUAUAAGAUAUAUAAACAAGUAUAUGAUCAAGUCAAAUAAUCAAAGAAUGAAAUAAUAAGACAUUAAAAAAUUUAUGACAAGUAUAAACAUGUUAAACAAUCAAACAAUAGAAGCAUGGAUGAAAGAAACAAGUGUAAAAAAUAUCAGAUGAAAUCCGACAAGUGAAACUAUGC
Molecule: long non-coding RNA, 246 nt
Filed under: Lathyrus oleraceus (garden pea)
Lineage: Eukaryota; Viridiplantae; Streptophyta; Magnoliopsida; Fabales; Fabaceae
Description: Pisum sativum (pea) long non-coding RNA (PSAT_LNC013265)
Source: RNAcentral